GUCAUGAGCAGAAUGUGAGCCCUCAGGCUCUGAAAUCCAGAGAUGGGUGUCUUCUAAUCCAGCUCAUCUGCAGAGCCAGCCACAGCCUGUGUGUCAGGCUGCUUGAUGGUGAAGAGAGCAGUGUGCUCUGUGACCUGGCUGCGACAGGGUGUGCAGGGGAGCUGAGCUCAGCAUGCGUGCUUGCAUGCACGAGUUUUCAAGAAUUCUGGCUCUUCCCCUGGGGAGAAUGCUCUUCGCUCGCCUUUUUCACUUCAGAAGGAAUAAUUACCAAUGUUUGUGGGUUUUCUUCAUUUGAGGAAUUUGAAUGAAAAGCUACACAGGAGUCAUGGCUGGAAUCAACUUUUCAGUAAAGACAAGCCGUCAGAAGAAAAGAUGCAGAUGGAUGUUAUUAGAAAGGUUUUUACUUCGAAGUGCGCGGCUUGUCCACAUGGCUGAGAUUAGUGCUCAAUACUCAUAUAAUGCUUUUCAUCCUCAAAAGGGCUUUUUACAAGCUCCAGCCCCCAAAACACCCCCACAAGGUAGGUGCAUGAGUUUUGUUAUAUGCUUUACAACAAGGAGGGACACAUGUUAG
Molecule: long non-coding RNA, 571 nt
Filed under: Parus major (Great Tit)
Lineage: Eukaryota; Metazoa; Chordata; Aves; Passeriformes; Paridae
Description: lncRNA (ENSPMJG00000010870.1)
Source: RNAcentral